CCUUCCAAAGUGCUGGGAUUACAGGCGUGAGCCACCUGGCCCAGCCUGGAAUGUCGCAUCUUCCGCCGUUAAAUGAAACGAUGGACCCUGAGCAGAAAGAGGAACAAGGAACAGUGAACAGUGGCGGAAGAACCAGCAAAACCCAGAGCCUCGAGCUUGGUGGACAGACCAGACCAGCUCUCUGCAUGUGUUGUCCAGUUCUCACCACUGGAGGAGAGUCCCAGACCGUGGAGUUUCACAGGGUGGGAAACUGAGGCGGUCUCCUGGAUCAGGGCCUUCCGGAGACAGGAUCCCUGUUGCAGUUUACCUGACGCUCCCCAUCCCCGCUGUGCAGCAGGAACCAAGGAGGCCCCUGGAAGAGCCCUGAGCUGGGAGUCGGACACCCGGGUUCUGGGCCCGGCUCAGCCCUGUGCCUGUCAUGUGACCGCUCUGUACCCCAUUUCCUGUCAAAAAAGAGAGGGGUGUGCGAUGUGAGAUGUGUGGCCCAUCAGGGGCUCUGAGGCUGCUUGCUUUCCUGUGUGGACAAGAAGUCUGGGGACAGGAGGCCGUCAGGCGGCCCAGCAAAUCCCCCAGGUGUCUUGCCUGACGCCCAGGGGUUCAGUUUUCGGUGAUGAGUAAGACGUGCUCAGUGCCUCCGUGUGUCGUGUGUGAGACCUGAGACCAGAUGCCUGCUCCUCCCUCUGUUCCCGAGGGCAUAGCCCCAGGCCCGUCUGUGACCCUCCACUGGGCCCAAGAAGAACCUUUCCCCAGGCCUCAGUCCCCUGUGGCCUCCCGGAGCCGCACAGAGUGGGGAGGGUCUGCUCUCCAUCUGGCCAUUGUGGGCCCCA
This is a long non-coding RNA of Nomascus leucogenys (northern white-cheeked gibbon), 827 nucleotides long. RefSeq lists it as uncharacterized. Lineage: Eukaryota; Metazoa; Chordata; Mammalia; Primates; Hylobatidae. The record is from RefSeq and is a predicted model, not a curated record.